CCUGCCAUCUGCGGACUGGUGGGUGGGUCCGGGGCAUCUUUGGCUGGGGGCUGCUGUCCCGCGCUGGAUGUGUGCCGAUGGGGUGCCUCCGUCCCCGCGGUGGGGGUCGCCGGUUGCUCGCGGGCCGGCGGGGGGCGCUGCCCCGUGGCUUGCGCUGUCCGGGGGGCGGCGGGCCCUGGGCUGCUGGCCUUGUGCCGUCUGGGGCUGUGCGGUCCUGCUGGGCUGUGGCCGGGACCUGGGCUGGGGUGGGGGGCGCGUCCCGGGGGGCUUGGCCCGGGGGCUUGCCCUUGGGGGGUCCUGGUCCCUGGGGGUACUCCUGGGGCCCGGGGUGCUUGGCCGGCUGGCCGGGCCGGUCCUGGCGGGGGUCUUCUGGGGCGGGUGGCGCGUGCCGCGCCCUUGCAUACCUUCUGGUGCGGCCCCUGCUUGGGCAGUCCCCCGUGAGGCAGAGUGUCGGGGUGGGAUUAGGGGGCCACAUCCCGGCGGGGCGGUCUGGCUUGGCCUCUGGAGGGGGCCCUGGCUUUAAAGAACUGAAGCUCGUGGCGCGGGCGGCAUCAGCAUCUGGGGCGCCCGGGGGGGCUGGGUUGGGGUGCCUGGGGACUGGCGGGGGGACUCCCAGCGGCCCCCUGGUGCCUUAUGCGGCUUGGGGUGUGGUCGUUCGCCCUGGGCGGGCUGCUCCUGGUGCUGCAUCCAUUCCGGGUCCUCCUGGCCUGGGGUCGGGUCCUUGCUGGCUCUGGGCUCACCGGCGGGUGCCCGCCGGCUGCCUGUUCGGCGUGGCUCUGGUCGUCUGCUGGGCGUGGGCUUUGGCUCCUCCGCUGGGGUCUCGGGCGGGGGGCUCUCUGGGCCCUCCCCUCGGGGGGCUGGGCGCGGGGGUGUGGGUGGUGGUGGGGGGGUGGGGGGCUGGGGGGCCUGGGGGUUGGGGGUUGGAGUCGGUGGCGUGGUGCGCUUGGUCCUUGGCUCCUUGGGGGCUUUUCGGGUGUGUAUGGGGGGGGCAAUGGCAGCCUCUCGGCUUGGGACCUUGGGGGCGUUCGGGGGGCUGCUUGGCCGUGGGGUGGUCGCCGGGGGCCCCUAGAUCUCUCGCUCUUUCUGCUGGCCCGACUGCUUCUUCGGGCCCGGGGGCGGCUCAUGGGUUUUGCAGUAGCGGCUCUUGGAAUCACAUUUGUCAUGGACGCACUGGCCUCGGGCUGUGGGAUAACACUCAUACUGGGCUCAACCAUAGACACGUUGUUCCCAAAUACCUGUUUUAUGUAACUUCCACUCACUUCCUCCUCUGCUCACAGCCACCACCAUUAUUCCUAAGCCGCACACUGGUCACCAGACUGGCUUGAUAACACAACAAUAAGCACAAUAUACACAACCACAAUUUCACAUCACAUCACUUGAAACUUAUUGAUUAUUCCCCACCCAUUCGUUUUCCUAUCUUGUAUCCCUCCUCCCUGUUAACUCCCCCCCCCCCCACCCCCCUCACCCUGGUGUAACACUGCCCUCUCUCUUUUACAUCCUCCCUUUAAUAAAGUAUUUACCCUUCCCUAGGGAGGGCUGGUGAUGGUCACAAUUAUGCAAUGAAAUAAACUCAUUUAUUUAAUUGCAAUAAUAAAAUAUGCAUUGCUGUUAAAAGAUUGCACUUCUUGUAGUGUUAACCUUCAACAGCAUGUGCAAACAAGAAAAAAAAAAAAAAAAAAAAAAAAAAAAAAAAAAAAAAAAAAAAAAAAUAUGACUGUGUCGUGCAAUGGAAUGACACCCUUUCCACAAUAUACCUCAGCGUAGCACCCGAUGACAGCUGGAGAUAGACACCAGCAGACCCUUGCAACCCUGAAAAGGAGCAAG
RNAcentral lists this long non-coding RNA (1824 nucleotides) under Gouania willdenowi (blunt-snouted clingfish). Its description in RNAcentral is "lncRNA (ENSGWIG00000023622.1)". The record is from RNAcentral. Lineage: Eukaryota; Metazoa; Chordata; Actinopteri; Blenniiformes; Gobiesocidae.